UGCUCUCUUCUCUCGUUCAGUCGA
This 24-nucleotide non-coding RNA is filed under the name Arabidopsis thaliana (thale cress). The record is from RNAcentral. Lineage: Eukaryota; Viridiplantae; Streptophyta; Magnoliopsida; Brassicales; Brassicaceae.